AUGCCGACCGUAACCAUGGACGACGACCCGACGGUGACGCGCAGCAUCAGCGCGGGCGCCGUCUCCGGCGGCUCCGACGGCGCCCCUUCCACCGGCCCGGCGGCGGCGGCGCGGCGCCACAGCAGCGCGGGGAUGCGGGCCCUCCUGUGGGCCGCCCACGGGGCCCGGUCCCUGGGUAGCUCGCUGGGCUCCGGGCUCCACCGCAGACGGGACGGCGCCUUCCCCCCCCACAUCCUGACCCCCGGCAGCGCCCCGCCCUUCACCAUCCCCAGCCUGUCCCUGCAGCCCGACGGCCCCCCCAGGGGCCGCCCCGGAGAGGAGGAGGAGGAGGAGGAGGACGAGGAGGAGGGGGACGUCGACGAAGGUCUGGGGGCGGAGCUGGCGUCGUCUCUGAGCGUCUCGGCGUCUCGCUCCGAGCUGUGGCGGACGACGUCGUCCUCCUCGGACCUCCGCGUGCCCCCGCCCGACCGACGCGCCCAGCGGACCGUCUCGGACCCCCUGAGGAGGGGGUCCCUGCUGAGAGAGGGCUCCUACCCGGGGCCCUACCGGGAGGAGGUUCGCCGCUCCUACCAAGGGCCCUACCUGGAGGACGCGCACCGGCACGGCCUGGACCCGGCCAGCAGGGCGGCGCUCUCCCUGCCGCACCUGGCCAAGGUGACCACGCCCUACGGCUUCGUGACGCUGAGCCAGAGCCCCCAGAGGGCGAGCGAGGAGGUGCUGCUCUGCCCGGUCGGCCCGCAUCGCGCCCCGGCCAAACGGGACGCGGGGCCGUCGACGGGGGGCGGCGGCGGCGGUGGCGGCCGCGCCAAGGCCCCCCUGGAGAGGACGGGCGGCGCGGGGGACAGAGGCCCGCCGCCCCGGCCCCCCCCGGGUCAGAGGUCGUCCGAAGACUCGGGCGACGCCCGGACGGAGGCAGCCGCGACGGCGGCCGUGUCUUCACAAAGGGGGGCGAGCAAGAAGCCGAAACGGCGGCUCUACGACAUCAUACGGAAGCACAUCCUGCCGCUUCAUUAG
RNAcentral lists this long non-coding RNA (1014 nucleotides) under Gadus morhua (Atlantic cod). Its description in RNAcentral is "lncRNA (ENSGMOG00000024333.1)". The record is from RNAcentral. Lineage: Eukaryota; Metazoa; Chordata; Actinopteri; Gadiformes; Gadidae.